UGCAGUCGAGCGAUGGAUUAAGAGCUUGCUCUUAUGAAGUUAGCGGCGGACGGGUGAGUAACACGUGGGUAACCUGCCCAUAAGACUGGGAUAACUCCGGGAAACCGGGGCUAAUACCGGAUAAYAUUUUGAACYGCAUGGUUCGAAAUUGAAAGGCGGCUUCGGCUGUCACUUAUGGAUGGACCCGCGUCGCAUUAGCUAGUUGGUGAGGUAACGGCUCACCAAGGCAACGAUGCGUAGCCGACCUGAGAGGGUGAUCGGCCACACUGGGACUGAGACACGGCCCAGACUCCUACGGGAGGCAGCAGUAGGGAAUCUUCCGCAAUGGACGAAAGUCUGACGGAGCAACGCCGCGUGAGUGAUGAAGGCUUUCGGGUCGUAAAACUCUGUUGUUAGGGAAGAACAAGUGCUAGUUGAAUAAGCUGGCACCUUGACGGUACCUAACCAGAAAGCCACGGCUAACUACGUGCCAGCAGCCGCGGUAAUACGUAGGUGGCAAGCGUUAUCCGGAAUUAUUGGGCGUAAAGCGCGCGCAGGUGGUUUCUUAAGUCUGAUGUGA
RNAcentral lists this ribosomal RNA (559 nucleotides) under Bacillus sp. RZ2MS10. RNAcentral describes it as "bacterial SSU rRNA". It matches the Rfam family "Bacterial small subunit ribosomal RNA", at positions 56 to 597 of the family's 1533-position model. Lineage: Bacteria; Bacillati; Bacillota; Bacilli; Caryophanales; Bacillaceae. The record is from RNAcentral.